CUAUGAACCACUAUUGGUUUGCACAGUAUUAAAUGUUUGGAAAAUAGCAAAUGAAGAAUGUCUGAUACAUGAAAUUGGCAUGAAGUUCAAUUUCGAUGUCCAUAACUAAAACUUUAUUGGCACACAGCCCUGCUCGUCACCUUGUGUCCCCUCCAUGGCUGUUUGCAGGCUACAAAGGCAGGGGGAUGGGCUCGGUGAUUGAAUCUGUCAGGAUGCAGAGCAGACUCUCUGAGAUGGUUCCCAUCGGGCUCGGCCAAAAGGCAUGUGUGAGCACCAUUGUUUGUGUCCUCAUGAUGAGCUGAGCUGGAGACCAUGCCAGCUGGAUGGCUGAUUAGUUACAGGGUCCCUUUGUGUUGUGACAACUCAGAAAAUGUCACCAGGUGCUGCCACCCAUAUGACCCCCAAAUCCCUCAGAGGGAACUGUGUCAUUGAGGAAGGAGUUAAUAGCGGCCAUUAUCAUCGGAAACCUUACUUAAGCCCUCGUUCUUAUUAACAAAUCACUUUGUUAUAAUUGGAUGCAUAGUAUACAAGGUCGAAAUCCAUAUUUGCAUCCUUGUGUUGGAAGGUAGUCAAUUCUGACUCAUCCAUCUUUCCUCAGAGUCACAGAUACCUCAUAAGCAAGCAUCUCUGUGUGGUUUUUUGGUUUGCACAGGUGCUGUUCAGCCUGGUCCAGCCUUCACGUCAAUGAUUCAUUCAGCUAGUGUUAAAUGCCUUUUCCAACCCACCUAAAAUUAUGGGCUGGUCUAAGGGGAAUGGAGUUGGGCAGAGAUAAGCACAGGCCUGGGCUGUGACACACUGUGAUGUUGUGAUUUAUAAGAAGAAACAGAUAUUUGGUCUUCAUCCUUGGACCUAGCACAGAACUCCGAAGCCCCGGAGAGUCCAGGAUGUGCUUGGAGUUAGCCCUAAAAGUAUCUUUGUUAUGUUAACGAGGUGACUUUGGACCUAAGGGAAAGGUGGGACUGGUUGCCAGGGCAACCAACCCUGUAAAGGAGGGUUAGAACUCUCCUGCUUUUCAGGGAGGGAAGAAGGAUUGGAGGCCAGAAUCCAUCACCAGGGGCCAUUGAUUUCAUCCAUUGUGCCUCUGUAACAAAGCCUCAUAAAAACCCAGGGGACUGGGUUCAGGGAGCUUCUGGGUACUUGGGAAGAGCAGUGGCUCUGCCAGAGCGUAGAAGCUUCGUGCCCUUCCCCCUGCCCUGCCUGUGAGUCUUCCAUCUGGCUAUUCCUGAGCAAAUAGCCUUUUAUACUAAGCUGGUACCCAAGUAAGUAAGCUGUUUCUUUGGGUUCUGCGUGCCACGCUAACAAACUAAUCAAACCCAAGGGUCGUUGAAUCUCCAACCUGGAGUCAGUUGGCGAGAACCUGGGCUUGCAUUUGGCAUCCGGAGCAGAGACUAAGCCCUGAGACUUGGGAAUCUGAGGAAUCUGAGGCCAUCUCCAAGCAGACAGUGUCAGAAUUGAGCCGAAUGGGCGGACCCUGAGCUGGUAUUGCUGAGUGUUGCUGGUGGGGUUGGGGAAACGCCCCAGAUACGCACACAUUGGACCUGAGCUAUCAGAACCACCUUUAAUAGACACUCAGCCUUGAGAAAUGACUUCUGGAGUCUCCGCAUGUGAGUAGACUUUCUUUGGCAACUCUGUGGGUUUCGUCUCCUGUCCCCCGAAAUAGCACAGUUAAGCAUCGUCCUUAUCCUUCAACGUGGCAUGAUAACACAUUCAAUUAUUACUUUUCCCUCAGCUUUCAAGGUCAAGCUAAGCCCUUCCUCAGAAAGCCCCCUUUCCAGGAGCUCCUGCAGCUGGACCACCCUCCUCUGAACACAUCGCGGCCUGUGGGGUUUGGUGUGGAGAACAGAAUGGAACAGAACUCCUUGGGCACUGAUUAGUUCUGGGCUCUUCACAGACACCGCUGAGUAUCUGACUUCAUUACGCACUUUCUCAGCACCUGUUUUCUUGGCAAAACAUUAAAAAUGAACACAAAGGCCAAUCGGGCUGGUACCUUCUUGGCCCAGGAUUCUACCCAACUCUUUGUUAAUUUACAGGGGAAUUUGUAAGGACUUUCAACUCAAGCUUCACUCUUUCCCACAAAUGUGGUGCGAGGUAUCUUUUAAGGUGAAAGCACAGUUCUUCUUUUCAAGCUACCUCAUGCGGUGCAAAUAAAAAGCUUGAUUAAAAACUGAAACUAGGAGUUCCCAGAUGGUGCAGCAUAUGAAAGAUCUAGCGUUGUCACUGCUGCCACGUGGAUCCCUGCUGUCCACAGGUUUGACCCCCUGGGUUGGGAACUUCCACAUGCCACGGGUGUGGCCGCAAAAAUCCCUGAAAUUAUUUCACAGUUUGUACUGUGGAAGAGCCAAACUCUGGCAAAUUCAACAGAAUUAGGAUGUACUGAUUUCAAGACAUGUUGCUCUUGAAGGCCUUCAGGGGUUAAUGCUGCACUGAGUGUUUCAUGUUGAUGCUGCCUCUUUGUUUUGGGCUGGAAAAUGAGGACAAGCAGCAAUUGCUUUGUUAUUUCUGAACCGAUCCCAAUGGGGAACGUGCUGUAAGCACCACCAAGGAAAGGAACCUAGGACUUGAUUGGAACGAAAGUGGUUCAAAAUACACAUGGGAAAGAGCAAGGUAACGUUGAGCCUGGAUGACUCGAGCUUACGGAUCCAGGGACCAGCAACUCAGAUCACCAGCCAUCAGCAGGGGAAAUGCUUUAAAAGCCAUAAGCAGCCGUGCUGGGAAAGACGGGUUAGAUUGCAGAAUAGAUAGGGGUUUGAAUGGGAAAGAGGAGGAUCCAGAGUGACUUCAGCUGUAACCAAGGAAUCAUUGUACCCUGAGGUCAGACAAUCCUUCUGUCUAGCAUACCAGUGAGGCUGAGGCUCUCGGUGGACAGAAAUGAGCUCCGUGUACCUCAAAGGCAUAAAGAUGUGAUAAAACCUGCGGUGAUCCGGAAGUGUGAAGCGCGGAGGGCGAAAAGCAUUUGCUUAGCAGGCCUUUUAAAGGAACAGGGUCCACGUGAAGAGGCCAGCCUCCUCCUCUUCUGAUCUUUUUCAGAGCCUGUUUUCCCAAGAGCACAGUAUUAUGCGAAUUAUCUAAUUGCAUGCAAAUGAUGGCGUCAGCCUCAGAGCAGGAGCAAUUUGCAUUCCUAUCUCUCCCGGUGAAGCCUCUGCUUCCCAGUGUUGGGGAGCUGGGCAGAGGCAGGAGAUGGGCUGAUCUGAUUCCCUGAAUGGGCAGCGUCUGAGUUUGCAAGUCGGAAAGGGGUGUCACAUUGAGAACGCGUGUGUUUCAAGACAAGUGGUUUAAGGCUGGUGCCUUUUUGCACACACAGGGCAGCCUAUUCCUUUGUACAAGACAGAUGCCUCAAUGGCCUGCACUGCCAAUAUUCCAGAUUCCCUGCCCAACUGCAACAAUAAUGUCCUUUCAAAUUUUAAUAACACCUGUCACCCAGGGGACUCAUGACACGCCUCCAGUUUCAUUACAUGCCGCGUUUCCAUUAGGCUGGUUGUCUUUCUCAUUCUCUGCCAGAGAAGGAUCGUGGGAGGGGUGUGCAAAUUGGCUAAUAUUAUGAUUCAAACUAGUUAAAUUUUUAAGCUACCCUGUGUAAGAAUUAGACUCGCAGUUCCCUCCACAUUGGUUCAUCGUAUGUCUCGUAAGCAUGUUGAGUUUUACGGAACAGAACCUUGACAGCUGACGCCUUUAAAGAAGGUGGACUGUGACUGUGCUUCGCCCUUCCAAUAGAAGCAGGAAGGAAAGUCUUAUGUAUUCACGCUGGGCAUGAAGUCCUUCGCAUAAACUCUUUAUUAAUUUACAGGGGAUCCACAAGGACUUGGAGUUUACUCUCCCUGUUUCAAAAACACCGGGUUUCUCCAUGGAAUACUUUCUCCCUGGAGUUGAGAGCUGAAGGCAACGGGGCAACUGGGAUGGCUCGCAUGGGGAUAUUUCUGGGGGUCGUGGGUCCCUGGAUUCAGUGAACAAAAAUACUGCUGCUGAUGGAAGCAGGGGCGACUUCACCUCCACCCCUCCACGUGCCUUUAUUAACGGUAUAUUUCUGUUCCCUGCCAUCUCCCACCGCCUCCCCUCCUCCGCAGCUCCCUCUUCUGCUCAGGAGAGCCCAUAAUUGGAUAAGGGGUCUGUUUUUAAAUGGUUAGUGUUUAUUUUGAACAGAACAAACUCCGAAUUAUAUUCCAAUGAUAUAACUACUUUUAAGUUCUCUCAUAGCCUUAAAUUCUAAUGCGGUGUGUGUGUGUGUGCACAUGCGCGUGCGUGUGUGUGAUUUAUCUAAAAGCAUACCACCCAUUGGUCAGGUUAGUUAUUUCAUUGAAAGUGUGAACAAAGUGACCUUGAGUCCCUGAUGGAUUGGUUGUGUCAUCUUUACACAUGCAGCUGGGUGUGGGUGUGGGGGUGUGGGUGGGUGUGUGUAUAUUGGUGAGACAACUGUUGGUGGCUGGCAGUCUGGACUGGAUUUUUUUUUCCUUAACUCUUCUACAGUCAAAGCAACAGCAGGAGAAGCAGUAAGAAGGGCCGCUAGCAGCAAAAACGUGGACCCCUGCCAGGUGGUGCUGAGUGCCAGGCUCGCGAGAGUUUAAGGGCAUCCUGUGUUAUGGGCCCGUCACCAGCUUCAUUUUGGAGGUGAACAGACAGAGGCACCAAGAAGAACCUGAGGCUCUUCCCUGGCGCCCAUAGGCAGCAGGCGGGGCCAGGGUCUCUCUGAAGCCUCUGCGGUCAACCGUGGAAAGAACACGAACCCAGGGCACAGGGUAGCUGCACAGUUCGCAGGGCUCGGAGCAAUACGGGAUGAGGGACCCUCUUGUUCACAUCGCAUCAAGGAUUUCAUGCCAGUGACGUUAAAGGGGGCACCAGGUCCUUUAGGUGUGUAGCUGGGUGCCGCUGGGCAGACCUCGAGCCCUGAGCAGGCUCUGGGCUCUGUCACAUCCAGUGGCCCCAGGAUGGAAGGCCUUCCUUCUGCUUCCCCAGCUCAGUCGAUCAGCAGCAGAGGAGAAAGGCGUCUGUGUUCCCUGCGACCAAGAGACAACCUGACCAGUUUUACACGCAGGCAGAGUUCUGCUGUGGCCCAGAGGGUUACCGACCUGCUGGUAUCCGUGAGUCUGCUCCCUGCCUUCAGCAUGAAGAUUUCGCUUCUCUGAGGACCAUGCGACACACGGGUCUUGAGGCCUGGAGCUUGGAAAUUGUUCACUUCAGAGUUUCAGAGUUUGUUUGACAAAGAACUGAAGGUUUUCUAUUUGUCUUUAUAUUAAUUUUCACAAAUCAAGAAACUCCAGGUUCCUUCUUUGCUUGCUUUAUUUUAAGAGGUGCAAUUUCUAAUUUUUUUUCAUGGAAAAGCGUUUAGUGUGUUUAUUUUGGAUGCUCGUGCUGGUGCCUGCGAUCCAGGUCAGACAUCACAUCCAAGACGUUAAAGUGACAAUUGCUCCAGAUUCUUUGCUUUCCACUUCAUUGCACAGAAUCACGAAUUCUCCAUCUGUCCCCUGGAACAACCAUUUCAGGACACCUCCUACCAGAAGAGUCAAAACACUGAUCACCCAGCUUAGUUGCUCCCGACACCAGUACCAGAAAUAAGAACCCAUCAGUUGCAUCACCAGGAAGGUUGUUCUGUGCUUACCUUCCCUUAGCUAUCUUAAUUUGUGUGCGAAAUAGUUUAAAUGACACCUUGUCUUUUACUUGGUUAAAGUGAAAGUGGACCGAGAAUCUUACCCACCAUCUCUUCAUCUGCUGUUGGAUUUUGCUAAAGUGAAUUCCUUUAAUCCCCAAACUUAUGUGAAGCUACUUCUCAUCUAUAUUCUAUACCUGGAAUGUUGCUUAUAAAUUACAAAAGUAGCUUGUUUGGGUUGAUCAACUUCAAGAUAAUGCAAAUGUUCAACUUUGGGACGGGACAAGAGGGAGAUAAAUUCAGAGUCUGUGAUUAACAGGUACCUUCUACUCACAUUGUUAUUAUUGGUGGCAGCAGUCCGCCCCCAGUUUGCUCCUGUUGGGUCAGCAGAACGCCCUCCUCUCUGUCUGCUUGUCUGUCUGUCUGUCUUCCUCUCUCUCUCCUCUCUCACUCUCUCUCUCAAACCACUCCAUCUGGUAGAAGAAGCCGGCUGCCCUGUUGAAAGUACUGCGUGGCAAGUGCAUGGCAAGAAACAGACGUCUCUGGCCAAAGCCAGUGAGAACCGAGACCUAUCACGGGCACAGGGGCGAGCUCGGAAGCAGACCCUCCAGCCCCAGCGGACACUGACCCCUGCCUCGGCUGACGGCUGGGCUGCAAUCCCAUGAGAGGUUCUGAGCCAGAACCAGCCACGUAAACUGCUGCCAGGUGCAUGACUCCCCGAAACUAUAUGGGAUUAUAAUCAUGGUUUUAAGCUGUUAAGUUUCAGGGGCAAAUCCCUAUCUCACCUGUGGUACUUUGAUUCCACUAUCUCUUAGCAUAGCCUGGCCAAACUUUAUUCUAUACCCAGAUGACAAUAAUUCUCACAUCUUCACCACACCAUAUAAAAUCCUAACUCACCUUCAAAUCACUGUUCAGACACCAUCCUGCUCACCUCCCAAGAGCUCCCUUCCUUGGAGUGGAUUAUAAACGUUUGUGCUUAUUGAAAUUCUGGCUAGUUUAUACAAUUUUCUUUUAACAUAUGUGAAUUUUGAUUUCUCUUUAAGAUGAUGGAUUCUUAAAAUAGAAGGAUUUCUGAGAGCAGCUAGCUUAAUAUUGAAUAUACUGGAUUCACAUAAUUAAAUUCUGGUGAAUUAAGAGAUGCAUCGUGACCAAACAAAAGACACAUACUGUGUAGUGCUUUAGAGUCGACCACUAAUUUUCUCUCUCUCUCUUUUUUUUUUUUUUCUUUUGACUCUGCCUGUGGGAUGCAGGAGGUCCUGGGUCAGGAACUGAACCGGUGCCACUGCAGUGCCCCAAGCCACGGCAGUGACAACUCCAGCUCCCCAACCACUAGGCCACCAGGAAACUCCAGCCAUAAUUUUCAAAAGCACUAUCUCACUUAACCUUCCAACAAUCAUUCAGCUAGGAUAUUGUUAUGGGCCGAAUUGUGUCCAUCCCAAAUUCACAGCUUGAAGCCUAACCCUGGAUACUCAGAAUGCAAUUGCAUUUGGAGAUAGGGUGGUUGAGGGGUCAUUACGAUAAAAUCAGCUCCUGUGGGUGGUCCCUAAUCCAGCAUGAUCAGUGUUCUCAUGAGAAGAGAAGAUGAGGCUACAGACACACACCGCGGAAGAGCCUGUGAGGACACGGGGAAAGGACACCCACCUACAGGCCAAGGAGAGAGGCCUCAAAGGGGCAUCUUGACCUUGGCCUUCCAGCUUCCUGAAAUGUGAGAAAGCAAAGGUUCUGUGGCGCGAGCUGCCCCGUCUGCGGCCCUUGGUGAUGGCAGCGCUUCCAAAUUAACACAGACUUUUCCACAGCGAUGUAAUGAGACCAACACCUGCCUACUGAGGAGUAAGCCUGGACCGGGUCCAGGACUUCUGUCUCUUCAGGCCGAGGGC
RNAcentral lists this long non-coding RNA (7455 nucleotides) under Sus scrofa (pig). Its description in RNAcentral is "lncRNA (ENSSSCG00000056740.1)". The record is from RNAcentral. Lineage: Eukaryota; Metazoa; Chordata; Mammalia; Artiodactyla; Suidae.